UUUGGCAUUUAUUGUUGAAACUAUUAACGAGUUACUUCUACUUUAUUAUUUCAAAAAGUCUCAUUUUUUUUUCUUUUUAGUAUGCCACACGUGGUUGACAAACGUGAAUACUUUGAGAGGAUAUCCCAGCAGAACCCACUGUGGUUUGAGGGUUUUCUCGUCAUCUUGCAUUAGAGAAAAUGAUGCUGAAUCAUAUAUGCUUAACAAAUCAAAAAGCAACAAACAUAUGCUGGUCUUGACGGUUCUACCACUGGCUGGUUUCAGCAGGCCCUGGGCUGUGCGGGUUCGGGCUCCUCCCAAGAGAGAUGAAGAGAUGGACAGACAGUAACAGAAGGUCCUCGAAGCUGAUGUGUGAUGAAGCCUUUCACAUUUUUUGGUAUAGUAAUCUACACACAAGACUUGUUCAGUGCUUUUGUGAUUUUAACCAUAAAGAGGAAGAGAAAAACAAGAAGGGCAUGGUAUACAGUGACACACCGUUUGCGGCAGGAGCGAGGGGAACUGAUGUGAACAACUAAAUGAAUUUGUGUUCAUGAAGUUGUUCAGACAAGGAGCUGAUGGAGCAGGAACCAUAUCCUCCUCCAUCAUGCCUUUUUUCCAAAAGUUUUGGUGAUAGGUGUAGAGAAGAAUCUAGGCCAAGCAGAAAUACAGGUCUGAAGCAAUGGCCUACCAUCUAAUACCGGAAAUGAAGGGAAGUGCUAUCUGUACUUUUGUAAGGGAUGUCGAUGAGAUCUAAGCCAUGAUUAAGGCUGCAUCUAUCACAAAUUGUUGGUUCACAGAAUUUUUACUUUUUAGCUAGUUAUUAGAGAAUUCUCUCUCAACUCAUUUGUUCCUUUACCGAUCUCAACUCUAAGAGUAACAUUACUGUGCUUGGGUUAUAAAUGUUUUAUGAAAAUUAACUUUUACAAAAUAUUCAGAAAAUUACUUUAAAAGUUUCAGAAAUGACUUUUUUAACCCUAACUUUCAUUUUAUAUAGAGAAAAACUUGAACUUGCUUAUGUAUUGAUACAGUGAUACUAUGCACCAUGUUUGUCUAACCUUUAGUUCAUUGACUUCUUUUGCAGACCUGCCAAGGUUUUGAGAAAAUAAAUGCUAUCAUCACAGGAUGGCCAGAUGACAGACCUAUACAAAUUCUUCCCUUUAUAGUAUCAAGUCCUUUUAUCAAAAUCAUCUUCAUGAUUUGAAACUGAACAUCGCCCCAGGGAAAUAGCUUCAGGGACGUGCUUACAAUGAAUAUUCUUGAACAUUUUAUUCUAAUGUUUAAGAAAGAACAGUAACAAAGAAGGCAAAAUAUCAGCAAGUUAUAACAUUUUGAGUUUUUCAUCUUCAAAUAAAUGAACCAAGGAGGACUAAAAGGCAAGUGGCAAAUGACGAUGCCAAGAGACUCUCCUAAGAAGUUUAUGAGACACAAAAUCUCUCAGCUUUACUUUGUUAAAUACACAAACACUGGAUUACUGUGAAGAAAAAAAUGUGCUAUGAGAAAUUACAGUUAGCCUUACCAAAUGGCGAAAUAUUUACACAAAUCAUAUCCUCAUUUUGUGUGUGUUUUUUGUAAGAUGAUGGUUCUUUUGCCAAUAUUUUUUCUCAACAUUUAAGAUUAAGAAACACUUGGAUUUACUAAUGAAUAUUUGUCUACAUAGACAUGAAAAAUGAUUAAAAUAGUAGAAAACUUAUAUCAGAAAACUUAUAUUUUCUAUCAUGUAAAAUUAAACUACUUGUCCUUGAAGUACCAAAAUGCAAGGUUAUACAGAUGAACACAUUACCAAGUAUCUGCUGACUUUGAGUGACUCUAUAAUUUAGAUAAGUAUUAAUUGAAAUAUAUUCUAGAUUAUAUAUUUUGUAUAUAUAUGUUUAAAUAAUGGCACACCAAAAUGAAUAUCAAGUAUUCUUAAGGCAGAAGUCAACAAACAUUUUCAGAAUAUUUCUAUUAUA
Long non-coding RNA from Macaca mulatta (Rhesus monkey), 1928 nucleotides. The record is from Ensembl. NCBI's taxonomy places the organism in Eukaryota, Metazoa, Chordata, Mammalia, Primates, Cercopithecidae.